GAUGAACGCUGGCGGCGUGCUUGAUACAUGCAAGUCGAACGGAGAGUGUAGCAAUAUACUUUUAGUGGCGAACGGGUGAGUAACGCGUUGGUGACCUGCCCCGAAGCGAGGGAUAACAGUUCGAAAGAACUGCUAAUACCUCAUGUGAUCACCGGUUUUAGAAUCUGGUGAUUAAAGGUGAAAAUCACUUCGGGAGGGGCCUGCGUCCCAUCAGCUAGUUGGUAAGGUAAUGGCUUACCAAGGCGAUGACGGGUAGGGGACCUGAGAGGGUGGCCCCCCACAAUGGAACUGAAACACGGUCCAUACACCUACGGGUGGCAGCAGUAGGGAAUAUUGCAAAUGGGCGAAAGCCUGAUGUAGCAACGCCGCGUGUGCGAUGAAGGUCUUCGGAUUGUAAAGCACUUUUUUGGAGGGAUGAGGAAGGACAGUACCUCCAGAAUAAGCCUCGGCUAACUACGUG
Molecule: ribosomal RNA, 460 nt
Filed under: uncultured bacterium
Lineage: Bacteria
Description: bacterial SSU rRNA
Rfam family: Bacterial small subunit ribosomal RNA
Source: RNAcentral